GACGAACGCUGGCGGCGUGCCUAACACAUGCAAGUCAACUUGACUGAAGGAGCAAUCUGACAGUAGAGUGGCGCAAGGGUGCGUAACGCGUAAGUAACUUGCCCCAAGGUAAGGAAUAACGUCGAGAAAUCGGCGCUAAUACCUCAUAAUGCAGCGGAUCCGCAUGGAUAUGUUGUUAAAGGUUUACCGCCUUGGGAUAGGCUUGCGUCUGAUUAGUUAGUUGGUGUGGUAACGGCACACCAAGGCUACGAUCAGUAACUGGUCUGAGAGGAUGAUCAGUCACACUGGAACUGAGACACGGUCCAGACUCCUACGGGAGGCAGCAGUGAGGAAUAUUGGGCAAUGCUCGAAAGAGUGACCCAGCAACGCCGCGUGGAGGAUGAAGGUAUUCUAUAUCGUAAACUCCUGUGAGAGCAGACGAAAGACAGAUUAUUAAUCUGGAUGACUGUAUGCUCAGAGGAAGCCCC
RNAcentral lists this ribosomal RNA (467 nucleotides) under uncultured bacterium. Its description in RNAcentral is "bacterial SSU rRNA". It matches the Rfam family "Bacterial small subunit ribosomal RNA", at positions 28 to 494 of the family's 1533-position model. The record is from RNAcentral.